UACGUAGGGUGCGAGCGUUAUUCGGAAUUAUUGGGCGUAAAGCGUGCGCAGGCGGUUCGUUGUGUCGGCGGUGAAAGCCCCGGGCUCAACCUGGGAAUGGCCGUUGAAACUGGCGAACUGGAGUGUGGCAGAGGGGGGUGGAAUUCCGCGUGUAGCAGUGAAAUGCGUAGAGAUGCGGAGGAACACCGAUGGCGAAGGCAGCCCCCUGGGCUGACACUGACGCUCAGGCACGAAAGCGUGGGGAGCAAACAGG
RNAcentral lists this ribosomal RNA (253 nucleotides) under uncultured bacterium. RNAcentral's name for it is "partial 16S ribosomal RNA". It matches the Rfam family "Bacterial small subunit ribosomal RNA", at positions 524 to 776 of the family's 1533-position model. The record is from RNAcentral.